GGGCCCGCACAAGCGGAGGAGCAUGUGGUUUAAUUCGAUGAUACGCGAGGAACCUUACCUGGGCUCGAACGUGGAAUGACAGUUGCGGAAACGUGAUUUUCUUCGGACAUUCUACGAGGUGCUGCAUGGUUGUCGUCAGCUCGUGCCGUGAGGUGUCGGGUUAAGUCCCAUAACGAGCGCAACCCCUAUCUUUAGUUGCCAUCAGGUUAAGCUGGGGACUCUAAAGAAACUGCCUACGCAAGUAGUGAGGAAGGCGGGGAUGACGUCAAAUCAGCACGGCCCUUACGUCCAGGGCUACACACGUGCUACAAUGGCCGGUACAGAGGGCAGCUACUGGGUGACCAGAUGCAAAUCUCCAAAGCCGGUCUCAGUUCGGAUCGAAGUCUGAAACUCGACUUCGUGAAGUUGGAUUCGCUAGUAAUCGCGCAUCAGCCAUGGCGCGGUGAAUACGUUCCCGGGCCUU
This 463-nucleotide ribosomal RNA is filed under the name uncultured bacterium. RNAcentral describes it as "bacterial SSU rRNA". It matches the Rfam family "Bacterial small subunit ribosomal RNA", at positions 917 to 1382 of the family's 1533-position model. The record is from RNAcentral.